AACGAACGCUGGCGGCAUGCCUAACACAUGCAAGUCGAACGAUACCUUCGGGUCUUGUGGCGCACGGCUGCGUACCGCGUGGGAACCUGCCCUUAGGUUCGGUAUAACUCCCCGAAAGGGGUGCUAAUACCGGAUAAUGUCUUCGGACCAAAGAUGUAUCGCCUUUGGAUGGGCCCGCGUUGGAUUAGCUAGUUGGUAGGGUAAAAGCCUACCAAGGCGAGGAUGCAUAGCUGGUCUGCGAGGAUGAUCAGCCACACUGGGAAUAAGGCACGGCCCAGUAUCCGACGCGAGGCAGGGGUAGGGAAUAUUGUGCGAGGGGCGAUGGCCUGAUCCAGCAAUGCCGGGGGAGUGAUGAAGGGCUUAGGGUUGUAAAGCUCUUAUAGCCGGGAUGAUAAUGACAGUACCGGGAGAAUAAGCUCCGGCUAACUCCGUG
This 433-nucleotide ribosomal RNA is filed under the name uncultured bacterium. RNAcentral's name for it is "partial 16S ribosomal RNA". It matches the Rfam family "Bacterial small subunit ribosomal RNA", at positions 29 to 507 of the family's 1533-position model. The record is from RNAcentral.